This 328-nucleotide ribosomal RNA is filed under the name uncultured Flavobacteriaceae bacterium. Its description in RNAcentral is "bacterial LSU rRNA". It matches the Rfam family "Bacterial large subunit ribosomal RNA", at positions 1 to 345 of the family's 2925-position model. Lineage: Bacteria; Pseudomonadati; Bacteroidota; Flavobacteriia; Flavobacteriales; Flavobacteriaceae. The record is from RNAcentral.
AAUAAGCUAAUUAAGAGCGUAAGGUGGAUGCCUUGGCUCUCAGAGGCGAUGAAGGACGUGAUAAGCUGCGAUAAGCUACGGGGAUUGGCACACACAAUUUGAUCCGUAGAUUUCCGAAUGGGGAAACCCACUAUAUUGAAGAUAUAGUAUCCGUUAAGGAAGCAAACCCAGGGAACUGAAACAUCUAAGUACCUGGAGGAAUAGAAAACAAAAGUGAUUCCGCUAGUAGUGGCGAGCGAACGCGGAUCAGCCCAAACCAAAAUUGUUUCGGCAAUUUUGGGGGUGUAGGACCACGACAUUGAAUGUUUAAUGAAUUAGAAUUCUUUGG